This 497-nucleotide ribosomal RNA is filed under the name uncultured bacterium. RNAcentral describes it as "partial 16S ribosomal RNA". It matches the Rfam family "Bacterial small subunit ribosomal RNA", at positions 28 to 507 of the family's 1533-position model. The record is from RNAcentral.
GACGAACGCUGGCGGCGUGCCUAAUACAUGCAAGUUGAGCGCUGAAGGUUGGUACUUGUCCCGACUGGAUGAGCAGCGAACGGGUGAGUAACGCGUGGGGAAUCUGCCUUUGAGCGGGGGACAACAUUUGGAAACGAAUGCUAAUACCGCAUAAAAACUUUAAACACAAGUUUUAAGUUUGAAAGAUGCAAUUGCAUCACUCAAAGAUGAUCCCGCGUUGUAUUAGCUAGUUGGUGAGGUAAAGGCUCACCAAGGCGAUGAUACAUAGCCGACCUGAGAGGGUGAUCGGCCACAUUGGGACUGAGACACGGCCCAAACUCCCACGGGAGGCAGCAGUAGGGAAUCUUCGGCAAUGGACGAAAGUCUGACCGAGCAACGCCGCGUGAGUGAAGAAGGUUGUCGGAUCGUAAAACUCUGUUGGUAGAGAAGAACGUUGGUGAGAGUGGAAAGCUCAUCAAGUGACGGUAACUACCCAGAAAGGGACGGCUAACUACGUG